Molecule: long non-coding RNA, 295 nt
Organism: Xiphophorus couchianus (Monterrey platyfish)
Lineage: Eukaryota; Metazoa; Chordata; Actinopteri; Cyprinodontiformes; Poeciliidae
Exons: 3
Source: RefSeq, a predicted model, not a curated record
UUUUAGCGGGUGGAGGAUUUCGUGAGCCAGUUCUCCAGCUAGCGCUAGGCUAACACGUUUGUUUUGGUUGCAUUUACCCAGAAUGCCCUGCUCUGUAGUCCACUUCCUGCUUUUGGAGCGGUCUCCGGUCCGCUUGGUGUUCACAUAUGCAUUCAAACCGAACCAGAGUUCACCUCAACCAAACCCAGACCGAUUAAGGUCAGAGGUCGAUUAUUAUUCACACCUCACCAACCGAACCGGACUUUUUAAACAAACGGACUGGAGUUGAACUAAAGCGGACUGAACAGGAUUGGUG